UACGAAGGGUGCAAGCGUUACUCGGAAUUACUGGGCGUAAAGCGUGCGUAGGUGGUUUUUUAAGUCCGUUGUGAAAGCCCAGGGCUUAACCCUGGAAUUGCCAUUGAAACUGUUCAGCUAGAGAGUGUUAGAGGAAAGUGGAAUUCCUAGUGUAGGAGUGAAAUCCGUAGAGAUUAGGAGGAAUAUCGAUGGCGAAGGCAGCUUUCUGGGACAUUUCUGACGCUGAGAAACGAAAGCGUGGGUAGCAAACAGG
RNAcentral lists this ribosomal RNA (253 nucleotides) under uncultured bacterium. RNAcentral's name for it is "partial 16S ribosomal RNA". It matches the Rfam family "Bacterial small subunit ribosomal RNA", at positions 524 to 776 of the family's 1533-position model. The record is from RNAcentral.